UAGACUUAUACGGUACGCCACAUUAUA
Molecule: small RNA, 27 nt
Filed under: Bombyx mori (domestic silkworm)
Lineage: Eukaryota; Metazoa; Arthropoda; Insecta; Lepidoptera; Bombycidae
Description: ovarian small RNA-21975
Source: RNAcentral